Molecule: unclassified non-coding RNA, 329 nt
Filed under: soil metagenome
Description: partial contains 5.8S ribosomal RNA, internal transcribed spacer 2, and large subunit ribosomal RNA
Rfam family: 5.8S ribosomal RNA (bases 1-120)
Source: RNAcentral
GAUGACGAACGUAGCGAAAUGCGAUAAGUAAUGUGAAUUGCAGAAUUCAGUGAAUCAUCGAAUCUUUGAACGCACCUUGCGCCCCUUGGUAUCCCGAGGGGCAUGCCUGUUCGAGCGUCAUUUCACCACUCAAGCCUGGCUUGGUGUUGGGCGACGUCCCCUUUGGGGACGCGCCUCGAAACGCUCGGCGGCGUGGCACCGGCUUUAAGCGUAGCAGAAUCUUUCGCUUUGGAAGUCGGGGCCCCGUCUGCCGGAAGACCUACUCGCAAGGUUGACCUCGGAUCAGGCAGGGAUACCCGCUGAACUUAAGCAUAUCAAUAAGCGGAGGA